RNAcentral lists this ribosomal RNA (254 nucleotides) under uncultured bacterium. RNAcentral describes it as "partial 16S ribosomal RNA". It matches the Rfam family "Bacterial small subunit ribosomal RNA", at positions 524 to 776 of the family's 1533-position model. The record is from RNAcentral.
UACGUAGGGGGCGAGCGUUGUCCGGAUUUAUUGGGCGUAAAGAGCUCGUAGGCGGUUUGGCAAGUCGGGUGUGAAAACUCCGGGCUCAACUCGGAGACGCCACUCGAUACUGCUAUGACUCGAGUCCGGUAGGGGAGUGCGGAAUUCCUGGUGUAGCGGUGAAAUGCGUAGAGAUCGGGAGGAACACCCGUGGCGAAGGCGGCCAUCUGGACCAGCACUGACGCUGAGGCACGAAAGCGUGGGGAGCAAACAGG